This 253-nucleotide ribosomal RNA is filed under the name uncultured bacterium. RNAcentral's name for it is "partial 16S ribosomal RNA". It matches the Rfam family "Bacterial small subunit ribosomal RNA", at positions 524 to 776 of the family's 1533-position model. The record is from RNAcentral.
UACGUAGGGGGCAAGCGUUGUCCGGAAUUAUUGGGCGUAAAGGGCUCGUAGGCGGUUUGUCACGUCGGGAGUGAAAACUCGGGGCUUAACCCCGAGCCUGCUUCCGAUACGGGCAGACUAGAGGUAUGCAGGGGAGAACGGAAUUCCUGGUGUAGCGGUGAAAUGCGCAGAUAUCAGGAGGAACACCGGUGGCGAAGGCGGUUCUCUGGGCAUUACCUGACGCUGAGGAGCGAAAGUGUGGGGAGCGAACAGG